Molecule: ribosomal RNA, 490 nt
Filed under: uncultured bacterium
Lineage: Bacteria
Description: partial 16S ribosomal RNA
Rfam family: Bacterial small subunit ribosomal RNA
Source: RNAcentral
AUUGAACGCUGGCGGCAGGCCUAACACAUGAAAGUCGAACGGUAACAGGAAGCAGCUUGCUGCUUCGCUGACGAGUGGCGGACGGGUGAGUAAUGUCUGGGAAACUGCCUGAUGGAGGGGGAUAACUACUGGAAACGGUAGCUAAUACCGCAUAACGUCGCAAGACCAAAGAGGGGGACCUUAGGGCCUCUUGCCAUCGGAUGUGCCCAGAUGGGAUUAGCUAGUAGGUGGGGUAACGGCUCACCUAGGCGACGAUCCCUAGCUGGUCUGAGAGGAUGACCAGCCACACUGGAACUGAGACACGGUCCAGACUCCUACGGGAGGCAGCAGUGGGGAAUAUUGCACAAAGGGCGCAAGCCUGAUGCAGCCAUGCCGGGUGUAUGAAGAAGGCCUUCGGGUUGUAAAGUACUUUCAGCGGGGAGGAAGGGAGUAAAGUUAAUACCUUUGCUCAUUGACGUUACCCGCAGAAGAAGCACCGGCUAACUCCGUG